UCUUAUUCUUAAAUCAUUGAACCUCUGAAUUUUGUUUGGGAAUGUUUACAGAGAAUCUUGUUUGUUUCUCUGAUUUGUUCUAGUAGAGAAAUAUAACCACAGUGGAAUCUAGCGAGGAAGAAGUUAGAAUAGCAAUGAAUAUGGCUGAGAAGAAACUUUCGGGGAAUGAUUACAAUGGAGCGAAGAUAUGCGUUGACAAGGCUAAGAAUUUGUAUCCGAACCUUGAUUGGUUUGAAGUUAACUUUGUUACGAGGUUCGUAUCUCCUUCUUUUAUGUUGGUGAUUUUGGGUUCCUAUCUUAGUUUGAUCGAUGAAUGGACUUGUACAUCUGUGGGAAAAAGAGUUAACAAUGUUAGGAGGACUUUGUUGAAUAAAUAAACGCUUAUAAUUGAGGUCUGAGUAUAGAUAGAUCGAAGCAGGCUAAGAUUAACUUCCUAGUUGUUCUGCUUAGUAAUCAUACAUACUCAUGUCUUUUUAGUUUGAAUGAUCGGUUGUAUGUUUCUUACAUUGAAUGAGUUUCAUGUUCAAGAAGCAAUUGUUCUUCUGUUAAAGCCACAGAGAAAGACAUCUCGUAAUAUAUACAUAUAUUUUCACUAUCUGUCUCCAUAUUUUUCUACUCUAGCUAUGGCGCCCAUUGAGAUUCAUUGCAGGUUGUGCUUUCAUCUUGGGAGUCAGUCGUUGAGUUGCAGCCAAGACUAGAUGAGAUAUCGAAAUGCCCUUGUGAAGGAAUGAUGGUGACUGCCGCUGCUUCUCCAGUUGAUUUCUGUAGCCGCUACUUUGCCCCCAGAUUUGGGAUCAAUGAGGACCCUAGCUAUGAACAAGUGUGAUUUCUUGGCCUACCAGGUUCUCUCUCUUUCUCUCUUCUCCACAGGCUUUUGAUACCACUUUCCAAAGAUUUGGUUAUUUUAAAAUUGUGUGUUAGGCUUCAUAUAUACAAAUACAAUUGUUCUUCUGUUAUUCAAACUUGUUUGCAGCACCAAAGAAUAAUAGAAGAUUCAGAAAGAAUGAAGCACCAACCGUAAUUUCUCCAAAGCAAUAUAAGAGAAGAUUCAGAAAGGCAAGACAAUGACUACUUACUUCCUCAUGGUCCCUGAUCAAUGGUCUCCGCCUACUGUCGUUGCUAAUGACUCCAGAUCUGAUCAACCUGAAGAAACCUCUCAAGCCGGUACACAAACAGAGUGAUAUAAGGAAUCAUCAUAUUGGGUCUUGUAUAGAUUUUGGUAUUAGGGAAGACAAAGAAGAAGAGAAGAAGUAGAUAUAUACUUGCAUACAUGUAAUUGUAAUAGUUUAGGAUCAAUCAUUGGACCCAUGAAAUUUCAAAGUUUCUUAAUGAAUUGCUUAACAUAUUAUUUUUCAA
This is a non-coding RNA of Camelina sativa (false flax), 1356 nucleotides long. The record is from RefSeq and is a predicted model, not a curated record. NCBI's taxonomy places the organism in Eukaryota, Viridiplantae, Streptophyta, Magnoliopsida, Brassicales, Brassicaceae.